GACGAACGCUGGCGGCGUGCUUCAUACAUGCAAGUCGAACGAGAAUCUCUAGCUUGCUAGAGAGGAAAGUGGCGGACGGGUGAGUAAAUAUGUAGAGAAUCUGCCCUUGAGAGGGGACAACAGCUGGAAACGGUUGCUAAUACCCCAUAUGAGCGUACCUGAGAUGGUAUUCUUGAAAACUCUGGUGCUCAAGGAUGAGUCUGCAUCUGAUUAGCUAGUUGCGGGGUAAUGGCCCACCAAGGCGACGAUCAGUAGCUGGUUUGAGAGGAUGAUCAGCCACAAUGGGACUGAGACACGGCCCAUACUCCUACGGGAGGCAGCAGUAGGGAAUUUUGCGCAAAUGGCGAAAAGCCUGACGCAGCAACGCCGCGUGAACGAGAACG
This 383-nucleotide ribosomal RNA is filed under the name uncultured bacterium. Its description in RNAcentral is "bacterial SSU rRNA". It matches the Rfam family "Bacterial small subunit ribosomal RNA", at positions 28 to 413 of the family's 1533-position model. The record is from RNAcentral.